This 199-nucleotide unclassified non-coding RNA is filed under the name uncultured Tomentella. RNAcentral describes it as "sequence contains ITS1". The record is from RNAcentral. Lineage: Eukaryota; Fungi; Basidiomycota; Agaricomycetes; Thelephorales; Thelephoraceae.
CUGAAUUGUCAACACGAGUUGUUGCUGGUCCUCAAAUGGGGGCAUGUGCACGCUCUGUUUACACAUCCACUCACACCUGUGCACCCUCCAUAGUUCUGGGGCAGGGGGGACUCUGUCCUCCUGCCAUGGUUCUAUGUCUUUACACACACACUGUAACAAAGUCUCAUGGAAUGUAUGCCGCGUUUAACGCAAUACAAUA